This 450-nucleotide ribosomal RNA is filed under the name uncultured bacterium. Its description in RNAcentral is "partial 16S ribosomal RNA". It matches the Rfam family "Bacterial small subunit ribosomal RNA", at positions 354 to 796 of the family's 1533-position model. The record is from RNAcentral.
GUCGAGAAUAAUUCACAAUGGACGAAAGUCUGAUGGUGCAACGCCGCGUGGAGGAUGACGGUCUUCGGAUUGUAAACUCCUGUCAUCCGGGAGUAAGACCUGGCUGUGAAUAGCAGACAGGGUUGAUAGUACCGGAAGAGGAAGGGACGGCUAACUUCGUGCCAGCAGCCGCGGUAAUACGAAGGUCCCGAGCGUUGUUCGGAAUCACUGGGCGUAAAGGGAGCGUAGGCGGCGUGGUAAGUCAGAUGUGAAAGCCCGGGGCUCAACCCCGGAACUGCAUCCGAUACUGCCGUGCUAGAGGAUUGGAGAGGUAGCUGGAAUUCUUGGUGUAGCAGUGAAAUGCGUGGAGAUCAAGAGGAACACUCGUGGCGAAAGCGAGCUACUGGACAAUAUCUGACGCUGAGGCUCGAAGGCCAGGGUAGCGAAAGGGAUUAGAAACCCCGGUAGUCC